This 112-nucleotide ribosomal RNA is filed under the name Crocodylus porosus (Australian saltwater crocodile). Lineage: Eukaryota; Metazoa; Chordata; Crocodylia; Crocodylidae. The record is from RNAcentral.
ACCUAUGGCCAUACCAGAGUGAAUGCCCAUGCACAUUCAUAACAUUAAACAGUUUGGAACCUGGUUAGUACUUGGAUGGGAGACCACCUGGAAAUCCCAGCUGCAGUUGGCA